CCGGUCAUUUGUUAUAGAAAUAGGAGGAGGUAGGCUAUAGCGUAGUUUUUAUCUGCCUCGAGUCGCAGCUGCACCGUCUCCUGGCUGAUCAAGGCGUUUCUGCACCGGCUCGUCCUUUUAGAAUGGAGACUCUGUGUACAGAGAAAACACCUGAACCAGGUGCAUUCCUGGAUAUUCUGGAGGAGAGGAGAAGGACCAGUGACAUAAGCCAUGCCCUAAGAACCUUUUCUCCCCAGCCUUAUAAAGGACAUCCACCUAUCACAGCUAGUGCUCUAAACCAAGCAGUACUGGACUCGCAGCACUUGCACUCUAUUGUAGAGGAGAUUGCCACAGAAAGUGGAGAACCUGUGGAGGUCAUCAGAGAGAAGGCUUCUGGGAUACUCAAUGAGAUGUCACACAAUCUGCAGCUCAGCUCUAUUCGACUGUUAGGAUACACACUCAGCAAGGUGUUCAAAAGAGCCUUCCAUACAGUCCUGGUGAAUGAGGAUGGCCUGAACCAGCUUCGACAGGCCAUUCAGGAGCACCCAGUCAUCUUGUUGCCCAAUCAUAGGAGCUAUAUGGACUUCCUGGUUCUUUCUUACAUCAUGUUCACCUAUGACCUCUCCAUGCCUGUCAUUGCUGCAGGAAUUGCUCUCAUGGACAUGAUGUUCUUUGCUCCAUUACUGCGGCGUUCUGGAGCAUUUUUUAUCCGUCGGGCAAUCAGGGCAGAUAAGCUCUACUGGGCAGUGCUGUCAGAGUAUGUCAGAACCAUUGUGAGGACUGGUUAUGCCCCUGUGGAGUUCUACAUUGAAGGAUAUCGGAGUCGAACACUGAAGUCUCUGAAUCCCAAAUUGGGUAUGAUUCACAUGGUUCUGGAGCCUUUUUUUAAUGGUGAGGUGGAUGACAUCAGCCUGGUGCCAAUCAGCAUCAGUUAUGAUCGGGUAAUUGAAGAGUCUCUACUGGCCCAUGAACUGCUGGGAUUUCCCAAACCAAAAGAGUCCACUAUGGGUCUCCUAAAAGCUUGGAAUGUUCUGGCAAAUGAUAACGGCUCCAUGCAUGUGUGUUUUGGUCAGCCCAUCUCUGUCAGAGAGCUUGCUAAGGGGAGGAUCAACUUUUCGCAGCAUAACCAAGUACCCAGAGAAAUGCCUCAGAAUCCCAGUGAGGAGACUCAGGAGUUUGUGAGCGUCAUGGGCCAUGGAGUGGUGCGUCUGCAGGAGAGAGGCAUGGUCAUCAGCCCCUGGAGCCUCAUGGCCACCAUCCUGCUCCAGAGCCCUGAGGGCCUAGGCUUGGACACCCUCACCCAGCGCACCACCUGGCUGCGGGAUAUCGUUCUGGACUGGGAUAUCGUUCUGGACUGGCCUGCACAGGUUUCUGAUGAGGAAGUGAUAUCAUCCAACAUAUCCCGCCACCGGUCGAUGGUUUGCUGUGAGGGGGGCCGAGUGCUUCUGAUAGAGGAGCAGGGUCCUGAUGGGGAGGAAUCCAUCACUCCAGAGACUGCCGUGUUCAGGCGUGCGUCCAUCAUGCUCAUGUGUGUCUCCUACAGGAACCAGGCACUGCACAUCUUUGUGCGGCCUGCCCUGGUUGCUCUCGCUAUAGCAACCACUUCCAGCACCAAAAAGGAGGAUGUCUUCACACACUUCAAAUUUCUACAGGAGCUUUUCUCCAAUGAGUUUGUCUUUGUGCCUGGAAUGGCUACUGAGGACUUUAAGGAGGGUUGUUCGCUGCUGGUGAAGUGUGGCGUACUUCAGGCUUCAGAUCAAGAGCUUGUUGUGAUAGAACAUGGUACAGACACAGCUUCCUUUCUUAGGGCCAUCCUCCAGCCAUUCUUAGAAACAUAUCAGGUAAUGGUGUCCCAAAUCCUGCACCUAAAAAGCUUGUCAUACAUUUUUUUGGAUGUGAAUUAACAAUUAACAAGCCGUUAAAGUGUAACUCCGGAGUAAAAACUACCUAGGGUCUAUUUACGGUAUUUAAAAACUUCAAACUUUUGAUUGAGAGCAAAAUUACAUUAAUUGGUGGCGUUUUGAGCAAGACCGUUUAUCACGUUUAUCACUCAGCAUUAUCACUGAAUGGGCUUACAGUGAUGCUAACAGGGCAAGGUGCCACUAUACUAUUUUAUACCGCUAACAAUGCUCAAAAUAUUAUAAAAUUUCUGUGGUAGUAUUGUGAGGGUUUCUACAGACAAACCAAAGUAUUUCAGUUCUUCAAAUCUGGCUAAACGUAAGGUAUGUUUGUAUUGAAUUCAGACUGAUCUGCGCAGUGUUGCAAGGUUGAAUGUGCCUGCUGAUUUGAUAAUACCGGACCAGGAAGCCAUACAAUUUUCUUCCUACAGAUACAGACCAUUAAAUCAACAAAGUCAUGUGACUGACCUGGAGGCCGUCCCGCAGUAAUAUAAUGCAUCCAGGGACACGCCUCUUCCUUUUUGCCUUUCAUCGCCUCAUCUGAGACCGGUGAGUGUGAUUUCCUUAGAAGCCAGUAAUCCACCACGUUAUUGUGCAAGUGCCUUGUGUCCCUGAGGAUUUAAACUGGUUUUCGCUUUGACAUUCGUUCUAGCGAGGGAUCUAUAUCCCCCAUUUUCGCUGUACGCAGCUGUUGAAUUGGUUGCUAUGUUCCUUUCCUAGCUACGUUCACGAAUAGGAUUGGAUGUUAUUUUCUCCCUUGGGGCCGAUGAUUCAGUGUUAACUCAUUGUGUGCAGCUGGGCUAGGUUACAUAGGGAGCCAUUUGCAGCAAUAAUGCAGUGGUAUUAAGUAUCUGUUACCAUCUGACAAUACUAUGGCGCCAAACACUUGCCCCAUUUGCGGCACUAUCAUGGACGUGCGUGAUGUACGUGGACGUGGACGAUGGACGUGCAUGAUGUGCUCCAUGUAUGGACAAAGUGCAUCUCAUGGAAGAUGUGGAAUGCCCAUGUCCGGCUGAUUGGUUUGCCAUUUGAGGAGUGUGCUCAGUGGUCUGGCCUGGGUGAACAUCCCCAUGCAGUGACUGAUCUUCUCCCACCUAUGAUAGAGAGCAGGUAAGUAUCCAUGAUCAUCACUCACGCAAACAGCAUUGCGAGCACUCCCAUGGGCAUAAGAGGAAGAGAAUCAGCCCCUCUCUCUAGGGAAUUAGUAGAGGCCUAUCUGAGGCCUGACAGACGUCAAAGGCAAUCGCUAAACGUAUCCAAACCGCCAUUUUUUAAUAAUGCUCAAAACACAGAGGUGACCGUAAGGUACAGACUUGUAAAACAGUUUUUAAUAAUCUCCCGGUACACUUGCUAAGUUCUUGAUGCUUCGUUUUAUGUGUAGGGACCCUAUUCAUACCACUGCAGAAGUGUGGUGCUAUUUUGAGCAUUAUUAGUGGUUACAAAAUGGCCGUUUGGAUACGUUUAGCGAUUGGCUAGCUCUCGAGGAGGUGUUCGACUUUCAUUCGUUGUCAUGGUGAAAAAGACCCUGGGUUCAAAUUACUCCGGAAUAACUCUUUAACAAUGAACAAGCUGGCAAAUGUUGCUCAUUUCCAUGUUACAAUGUGUAAAUAUGUUAUAGUGUAUUUUAUAGCCAAUUGUUGAUCUCGGCUGAAAUGUAACGUCUCCUAAUUGCCACUUAUGACUGAAACUCUGUGGUAGAUGGUGAAUAACUGUGAGACUGUGCUCUGCUCUCCUCUGAACAGGUGGUUUUCCGUCAUAUGACUGAGGAUGGUGUUGUGGUAUUUGCCGAGAAACAGUACAUACCUGCGGUCCGUUCUUACUGUCUGAAACUCAUCC
RNA transcript from Alosa sapidissima (American shad), 3713 nucleotides. It is a transcript of the gene named dihydroxyacetone phosphate acyltransferase-like, with no coding region annotated. NCBI's taxonomy places the organism in Eukaryota, Metazoa, Chordata, Actinopteri, Clupeiformes, Clupeidae. The record is from RefSeq and is a predicted model, not a curated record. The transcript is spliced from 13 exons.